This 459-nucleotide ribosomal RNA is filed under the name uncultured bacterium. RNAcentral describes it as "partial 16S ribosomal RNA". It matches the Rfam family "Bacterial small subunit ribosomal RNA", at positions 338 to 795 of the family's 1533-position model. The record is from RNAcentral.
CCUACGGGGGGCAGCAGUGAGGAAUAUUUGUCAAUGGCCGCAGGGCUGAACCAGCCAAGUCGCGUGAGGGAUGACGGUCCUAUGGAUUGUAAACCUCUUUUGUCAGGGAGCAAAGGGCGCCACGUGUGGCGCUUUGCGAGUACCUGAAGAAAAAGCAUCGGCUAACUCCGUGCCAGCAGCCGCGGUAAUACGGAGGAUGCGAGCGUUAUCCGGAUUUAUUGGGUUUAAAGGGUGCGCAGGCGGAAUGUCAAGUCAGCGGUAAAAUUUCGGGGCUCAACCCCGUCGUGCCGUUGAAACUGGCGUUCUUGAGUGAGCGAGAAGUAUGCGGAAUGCGUGGUGUAGCGGUGAAAUGCAUAGAUAUCACGCAGAACUCCGAUUGCGAAGGCAGCAUACCGGCGCUCAACUGACGCUCAUGCACGAAAGCGUGGGUAUCGAACAGGAUUAGAUACCCCAGUAGUC